CUACGGGCUGCAGCAGUGAGGAAUAUUGCACAAUGGGGGGAACCCUGAUGCAGCAACGCCGCGUGGAGGAUGACGCAUUUCGGUGUGUAAACUCCUUUUAUAUGUCAAGAAAAUGACGGUAGCAUAUGAAUAAGCACCGGCUAACUCCGUGCCAGCAGCCGCGGUAAUACGGAGGGUGCAAGCGUUACUCGGAAUCACUGGGCGUAAAGGACGCGUAGGCGGGUUGGAAAGUCAGGUGUGAAAUCCUACAGCUUAACUAUAGAACUGCACUUGAAACUUCUAAUCUAGAGUAUGGGAGGGGGAGAUGGAAUUAGCGGUGUAGGGGUAAAAUCCGUAGAUAUCACUAGGAAUACCUAAAGCGAAGGCGAUCUCCUGGAACAUUACUGACGCUAAGGCGUGAAAGCGUGGGGAGCAAACAGGAUUAGAUACCCCAGUAGUC
Molecule: ribosomal RNA, 439 nt
Filed under: uncultured bacterium
Lineage: Bacteria
Description: partial 16S ribosomal RNA
Rfam family: Bacterial small subunit ribosomal RNA
Source: RNAcentral